This is a long non-coding RNA of Amphiprion ocellaris (clown anemonefish), 1376 nucleotides long. The record is from Ensembl. Lineage: Eukaryota; Metazoa; Chordata; Actinopteri; Pomacentridae.
CCACACUGAUGGUCUUGUGGUUUUGUCCCUUGUCAACUAAAGAAGUUAAUACAGCAUCACCAUGUCCACUGCUGUUCACACUGUAUCAGACGCUGACAAUGAGUGCUGACAAGUGGAUAUUCCUUUUAGCCUUUUGCUUCAUGCACGCGUCUUCAAAUGGUGAGCACUUAUACGAAGAUUAUCACGAGGAUAAUCAGUGUGAAACACAGAAACUCAAGGCUUCUCUUGGCUCGUCUGUGUUCCUACCGUGCAGCUUAUCAACAAGUAGCCAAAACUGGGUGACAUGGACCCACAAUAGUGAGGCAGAGCUGGCAAAGCUCUUCUUUGAAGGGCGCGUCAAGUUCCUGGACCCCAGACAUGGCAGAGUGAAAGCUUUUCCAAACCAGGUCUCAGAGGGAAAUUUCUCCAUCCGCAUCGAUGAGCUGAACAACUCUGACCUGGGCAGCUAUCGCUGUAUACAGGGAGAUUACUGUCAAAAAGUGGAGUUGCUUGCUGACAGUACACUGAGCGAAGAGAUGAGGCUACUGAUUGUCAUCAGCGUUGCUGCUCUCAGUUUGCUGAGUGUUGGUGGAUACUACUUCUGCAAGGGACGCAUAGCAGGUGCCAGAGCUCCACCUGAGGGAACAGGCAGGGCAGUAGUACAUGAACAGCAGACAGUAUCAACCAUCUAUGCCUGACUUAAGACAAAAAAGCAGCAGAUUUCCCUCCCUCUGCCCUGGGUCUGGAAUUCACACAUUUGUGGACCAUCAAGCUGGUUCCAGGGUUUCCUUUUAAUCAACAGACAUCCUCCGAGGCUGACAGACUAAUCAACCUGCGACACCUCUAUCCAAACAGUGGGAUUCAUGUUUUAAAGAGGCCUAAAACUUACAUUUUCAACCAAUGAACAAAGAAUAUAUAUUAAAAUAAGAUAUUCUGGAAUAAAAAAUACAUUGAAGGAAUACUAUCAAAAAAAGUUUUAAAAACUACUAAUAUCUGUAAAGGUUUGUUUUUAGUAGGUUUAUAUACAGUAAAACAAUGUAAUUUCUCACAUUACAUGAGAACAUAUUUUCAUUUGUAAUAAAAAAUUUUUGAUGAAGCUAAUGUGUAAAGUUUUGGCCAGUUUUCUGUCUGAUUGGAUGCUUGUUUUACAGUCAGAAAUUGAACUGAUUUCUUUUUCCUUCCUGUGAUUUUACUGGAUAUUAUCUGCAAUUUAACAACACAAGGAAAUUCUGUAAAAUACAGUUCUAAAAAAAGUAUUUUAGACCCUACUGUACAGCAAACAUCUGUAAAAUUAUUACAUAUUUUGUUGAUUUAGAUACAGCAAAAAUGGUGUAAUUUUACAGUCAAAUGUAAAAGAACAAAUUACCUCAUACAAAAAUAAAACUUUUGAUGCGGAG